This 507-nucleotide long non-coding RNA is filed under the name Setaria italica (foxtail millet). RNAcentral describes it as "long non-coding RNA (SITA_LNC005298)". The record is from RNAcentral. Lineage: Eukaryota; Viridiplantae; Streptophyta; Magnoliopsida; Poales; Poaceae.
GACAACAGACUGCUCCAGGUCGUAGUUGUUCUGCCUCAGUAUCUGCUUGUUCAGGUCAGCCUGCAUGAAACCCAGUACCUCAAGCUCACUCAUCAUCUUCUCCUCCAGCAGGUGGUUGACGACUUCCUCAGCCAAAGGGGCAGCAGGUGCUGCUGCAACCACAGGCAUGCUAACAGGAGCAGCAACAGGUGCAGGUGCGGAUGCACUAACAGGUGCAGGCACAGGCACAGGUUUGGGCAGGAGAAUUGCUUCAGGUGCAGGCACAGCAGCAGGCAUCGAAGCCAAUGCAGCCUCGGCAGAUGAGGCAGGAGCAUCAGUAACUGGGAUUUGCGCCGGUUCAACUGCUGCUGGGGCAGAGGACAUAUCACUAGGAACUGGUUCAGAUUCCUUGGGUUCCAUGGUUUCACAUUCAAGCCUGCCGUGCCAUCCAGACAAAAAAUUUACAGGAGCACUGUUUAUAUUGAAUGCAGAAGGCCUUGUGCUGUUAGCUUCAGGGAGCUGAUUCCG